RNAcentral lists this ribosomal RNA (267 nucleotides) under uncultured bacterium. RNAcentral describes it as "partial 16S ribosomal RNA". It matches the Rfam family "Bacterial small subunit ribosomal RNA", at positions 57 to 305 of the family's 1533-position model. The record is from RNAcentral.
GCAAGUCGAGCGAGAAUUUAUUUGAUGGAGACUCCGGUCAAAGCCAAAUUAAGGAAAGCGGCGGACGGGUGAGUAACGCGUGGGCAACCUGCCCUGUAUAAAGGGAUAGCCACUGGAAACGGUGAUUAAUACCUUAUAAGACUACAGGAACACAUGUUUCGGUAGCCAAAGCUCCGGCGAUACAGGAUGGGCCCGCGUUUGAUUAGCUAGUUGGUGAGGUAAUGGCUCACCAAGGCGACGAUCAAUAGCCGACCUGAGAGGGUGAUC